RNAcentral lists this ribosomal RNA (757 nucleotides) under Bacillus sp. ZD34. RNAcentral describes it as "bacterial SSU rRNA". It matches the Rfam family "Bacterial small subunit ribosomal RNA", at positions 51 to 790 of the family's 1533-position model. Lineage: Bacteria; Bacillati; Bacillota; Bacilli; Caryophanales; Bacillaceae. The record is from RNAcentral.
CUAUAAUGCAAGUCGAGCGGACAGAAGGGAGCUUGCUCCCGGAUGUUAGCGGCGGACGGGUGAGUAACACGUGGGUAACCUGCCUGUAAGACUGGGAUAACUCCGGGAAACCGGAGCUAAUACCGGAUAGUUCCUUGAACCGCAUGGUUCAAGGAUGAAAGACGGUUUCGGCUGUCACUUACAGAUGGACCCGCGGCGCAUUAGCUAGUUGGUGAGGUAACGGCUCACCAAGGCGACGAUGCGUAGCCGACCUGAGAGGGUGAUCGGCCACACUGGGACUGAGACACGGCCCAGACUCCUACGGGAGGCAGCAGUAGGGAAUCUUCCGCAAUGGACGAAAGUCUGACGGAGCAACGCCGCGUGAGUGAUGAAGGUUUUCGGAUCGUAAAGCUCUGUUGUUAGGGAAGAACAAGUGCAAGAGUAACUGCUUGCACCUUGACGGUACCUAACCAGAAAGCCACGGCUAACUACGUGCCAGCAGCCGCGGUAAUACGUAGGUGGCAAGCGUUGUCCGGAAUUAUUGGGCGUAAAGGGCUCGCAGGCGGUUUCUUAAGUCUGAUGUGAAAGCCCCCGGCUCAACCGGGGAGGGUCAUUGGAAACUGGGAAACUUGAGUGCAGAAGAGGAGAGUGGAAUUCCACGUGUAGCGGUGAAAUGCGUAGAGAUGUGGAGGAACACCAGUGGCGAAGGCGACUCUCUGGUCUGUAACUGACGCUGAGGAGCGAAAGCGUGGGGAGCGAACAGGAUUAGAUACCCUGG